AUAUCAUCAGUAGCACCGGUUACCCGUGCAUCCCCUGCUCAGGCUAACAUGGUCGCGCCUUUCACCGGCCUCAAGUCCAUCGCAUCAUUCCCCGUCACCCGAAAGCUUGAGAAUGACAUUACCUCUAUUACCAGCAACGGAGGAAGAGUUCAAUGCAUGAAGGUAUAUAUCUAUACUACUUAAUACUCAGAUAUAUUAUGUGCUAAUGAGGAACCAGUAUAACAUGGCAGAACAUUUCUUAGUUAGUUAUUGCUCAUUUGCUCUCAAAGUAGCACAAUUCUAAGUCAGAUAAAGCAGUCCUAGGUAACUUUAGAGUGAGUAACUUCAGAAUUUUCCUUGAAUAUGUCAAUAAUAUACAAAAAUUAUGUCAACACCUCGAUUAAAAGAUUGUUUUGCUUGUAUUUUCCUCCUGAGCUGAUCUGAGAAAUUUUGUUCUCAAGUCAAACAAUUAGAGACUUUAGCUCAAGAGAAAUGUCACCCCCUGGCAUUGUAGCCUGCGGGAUGUCCUCUAUAUUUUACCAUAGUAACCAUGUCGCCCCUCAAGUGAAGUAGAAUUUAAUUCAAUAAUGAAAUUGAACUACCCAGUAGAGGAAAUUUCUAGUUUUUUUGUAUAAUUUCCACCUUAGCUUGCUCUUAGUAACCCCCCUCAGUCUCAUUAAAUAGUCGGAAAUGUAUAUUCUUAUGAAGACAUGAUCACGUUCUUCAAAUUUUGCAAUCCAACACUGUUUCUAGACAAAUAUACAAUCUGUCGGUUUGUAAUUGAGUAAAUAUGACAUUCACAAAAUAUAUCAAGGAGAACACACCUUGGUUCUGAAAGUGAAUGAUAAAUUAGUUAGGUAACAUAUGUGAAUGGUGCAAGUGCAGGUAUGGCCACCAAUUAACAUGAAGAAGUUCGAGACACUCUCAUACCUUCCUCCUCUCACCACCGAACAAUUGGCAAAGGAGGUCGACUACCUUCUCCGUUCCGGAUGGGUUCCUUGUCUGGAAUUCGAGUUGGAGGUAAGCACUUUCUUCCUACACAUUUUUCAUGUUCUCUGUUACAUGUUUCUUGACAUUGCUGAUGACAAUUGUGUGUUAAACCAAUAUGCAGCACGGUUUCGUGUACCGUGAGCACAACAAAUCUCCCGGAUACUAUGACGGACGAUACUGGGUUAUGUGGAAGCUUCCCAUGUUCGGGUGCACCGACUCAUCGCAGGUGUUGAAGGAGCUUGAUGAGUGCGUCAAGGAGUACCCCCAGGCGUACGUCCGUAUCAUCGGAUUCGACAACGUUCGCCAAGUCCAGUGCAUCAGUUUCAUUGCUCACCAGCCAGAAUGCUGAUCAAUCUGUCUGUUGAUUUCAUAUAUUUAUCAAUCUUGUUCGGCUCAUAUAUAAACUUCUUGCAAUCUCAUUUCAUUUCUUUCCGUUUUAAAUUUCUUACUUGUAUCUCCAACACAAGGAAAUUGGAACUAUAGAGGAUUAUAUGUAGCGAUUGUUGGUGAUUAUAUAUAUCUACUUGUUUGUUUUCCCUGCACCUUCUAAAUACUUGCAUCAUAUGCUUUCAUGUCGUGAUGUACUUUUUUAUAUAUCUCCGAUUCUCCAUGCAGUAAUUAACCACUACGGUCUUUUUACACCAACAAAUUAUAUGAUAACAUAUAGAAACAGUUCAUUGCUUCCGUAAUAUCUGCCUUGGUACAUGUUCUCUUGUAUCACUACAAAACCUUUCACGUCCAACAAUGUGAAAGCAAAUUCUCUGUAAUAGAAAUGGACAUCUGCUAGCGACAUUUCAGAUAAUAAUAAAGUGUACUUAUGCACCAUCUGGUUGGAAGGAAUGAACGGGAAAAACAUGAACAAAAUCAAAGGUAAACGAGAAGUAUACAAGAGUGAAGAGUGAUGAAGAACUAGAAAGUGCAGACUUUAUUAUGAGUUUCACAAUAUAAUGAGUAAAAUAUAGGAAUGAUCAUUUAUCCCUAUAUUGGUAAGAUUGAGAUAUUAGUUUUUUUUUGUGUGCCAAACUAGUACAAAUUUCAUUUCAUUCUCCCUAAACGUAAUUCUUCCAACAAAAUGGGGCAUUACAUAAAGGUAUAAAGAUGAGGAGAUUAAAGAUUGACAGCUGCGAUAAGGGAAGGUAUGGAAAACAUGUGUAACUAUAUAAAUGUCGAACACCAAUAAGAUCCAAAUAACUCAGAUAACAUCCAAACUCAGUAACAAAUUGGUUAACAGAUAAAAUUCAGAAGCGAAUGCAAAAUAGUUUAUAAAAUUAGAUUCUAAGAUUCAAAAUUUCUAGUAUUCAGAUUAUAUGCAGAUGAAAGAGGAAGGGAGAUUUAUUGAAUAAUUUAGGCUUGACAAAACACAAUAAAAUGAUACACAUAGACUAGUAUACUCUAAUACUUAAUGAGCAGCAUAUAUUCUUAUUCUUAACUACCGUCUAUUCUAUUAUAUCAAAGAAACAUAAAUUAUUGCAAAGCUGUAAAUUCACAUUAAGAAGCUUAAACAAAUUACACAACUAGAAAUCAACCACUCAAAUUGGAUAUAAUUGGAUAAAUAUCUAAAGAGAUCAUAACUAAGAACCCUAAUUUCAAAGUUAUAAAUGUAUGUAUAUAAAUGAUUCAAAAAUCAGAACUCUGUAACACAAAAAAGCUAGCUGAACUGAGAUGAAGUAGAAAGCAGCAACAAAACAUUUAUGAAUUAAAUAUCUAAAGCUGAUCUAAUUACAAACAUCAACUCACAGUUAUCAAGAGGGGUGUAUUGGAUUGGGAUUUUAAAUCAUUUUUUUGCAUUCAUGAAAUCCGAGGGUAUUCGAUUGAGAUUAUUUGAAAUGCAUUAAAAUCUUGGGGUAUUCAAUUGGGAUUUUGAAUUAUGCUACAAAAUCUGGUGGUAUUCAAUUGGGAUUUUAAAUUAUGCUUUAAAAUCCGGUGGUAUUCAAUUCGGAUUGUUUAAAAUCCAUUAAAAUCUGAUGGUAUUCAAAUGUUGUCGGAUUUUUUUUCAUUUCAUAAAAUGGUGGAUUUUGUGGCAUUGUUCGAUGUAUUUUAAGUUUUAUGAAAUCCCACCAAAAUCAAUGGGAUUUUGAAGCAUUGUGCUUAAAUCCUAUCAACUCUGCGACAUUUCAUCAAGAAUCCGCACAAAAUCAAAAUCACAUGCAAUCCAUUAAAAUCCAUAGACUAAAAACAAUCCAUUAAAAUCUCAAUCGAAUACACCCCCGCAAUUUAUUAAUCAGAUGAGAGGAAGGAAGGGAGAGGGUCAGAGGGAGAGGGAGAGGGAGAGAGAGAGAGAGAGAGGAGUUACAGUGCUACGGCGACGUUCAGCGGCGAUGGAGAAGCCAAAAGCGACCAAGCAUAGUAUUAUUACAAGAAGAUGAACGAGAGAUGAGCCUUUCCCUGCCCCCAUUAUUGUUUCUAAGGGCAUCUUUGAUCACAAUUUCAAGCUUCAUAUUUUUUUCACUUUUAAUUUUAUAGAUAGAUUAAUCAAUCUCCAAUCAUCCAUUUAUCUUCCUAUGUAAAGUCAUUUACUAGAUAAAUUAUAUUAUUUUAUAAAAAAAAAUUAAAUAACGAAAUAUAUGAUCUUUCUCGGAUGAAGAUAACUUGCAAAUUUAAUGGUAUAGUUUAGAAAUUGGGGUUGAGAAGUACCAGUAGUUAUGCUAUAUUUACCUGAUGAUCUCGUAUCGUAACUUUUUUUACACGUGGGAUUUUUUUGCUUACAGCUCAUACUCUAUAACACACUUCCGCCAUUUCACAUGUGACUUCAUCUUUUGACCAGGGUUCUGUAAAUAGAAUUUUGAGCAAGAUCCCCUUAAUACAUAACUGAAUAAACAACACUCGUAGAGAUGAAUUCUGCUGGCGGAACUAGGGAAGAAACCCUAGCUUAGUCAAAGUUUUUUUUUUCUUCCAGAUAUUUGUUUUUUUUCAGAUAUUUUUUUAUUUGAGCUCUUAAAAAUAACAGUGAACCAAUAAAAAGUAUUUAUUGUGCAAAUUUUAAUUCUAGAUUAUUUUGAUUCAUGUCAUAUUGUCAUUGACUAACAGGCCAAAGUCAUUUUGUUAAUGGGCUCUAUUUUCUUGACCAAAAUCAUACUGUUUCCCCUACUAUUAUCCUGAGCCCAUGUUUUCAAAUUUCAAUUACGCCCAACCACCAGUCCAGAGUAGUUGUUGUUGGGCCACAAGGUAACCAUCCAAUGUCUAAACUAAUCAUAGUCCAAAUAAAAUUUUUUCAUAAAAACUGCGUGUACGUGAAUCCAGGGCAGAGGACUGAACAUGACUCCACUUGAGUUGAGCAAGAAAACCGCAAUCAUAUAUCUUUGAUUUUUAAAAUUGAAAACCGCAACCGUCAAUCGGGGUCGGUUUCGGUUUCGGUUUAAGAAACUUCGAUUCGGUUAAUAGUCGGCUCGGUUUCGAUUACAAAAUCGACAAAUAUAAGAAUGAAAAAUAGUACACAAACGAGACAAAUUAAUGCACGUAAUCUAGACAUAAUAAUUAAUAUAAUAUUAAAAUUUAACAAAAGUAACCGUAUUUUAUUUAAAACACUCUUGCCAGUAAUAUAAAACUAGUCUUAGUCAGAAUUUUCAUACAGAAUACGAAUCAGAACUUCCGGCUGAUUGGCUUUUUUAACACAUGCUUCAUGAAGAUUGAGAAAAUGUGACAGGGAAAAUAGGAAAUACAGAUUGGCAGUGGCCAGUCAGCAUGAGAUAUUCACUGAACAUCAAAUAUUAACAUAGACGGAUGUUUCUGUAAGUGUUAGAAUAGAUUUAUUAUAUUUAUUACAUAUUACAUAUAUUAUUUAUUAUUAUUUUAAUAACCGGUUCCGUUUGGUUUUUAUUGGUUCGGUUGGGAGGUAUAACCGGAACCAAACCGUUUAAAUCAGAUCAAUUUUUAAUUUUUCGGUUUCUAAUUGGUUUUUUUGAGUUUUUCCAAAUUUCGAUUCGUUUUGAUUUUAAAUCGGUUUUUUGCUAAGUCCUAAAUUAAGGUAUGGGUUCAAUUAUAGACAAGGUUAAGCUUACUUUUUAAAAAGUCUAACAUCACAAGUAAAUGGUUCACAAGUAAAUGGUCUUAAAACUAUAAAGAAACCAGGAUUGAAGCUCAAAAAUUAUCACCACUACACCCUUUUUUCGUGGUGCAACAAAUUUGGCCUAAAUCAAACGCAAAUCAAACGCAUUUAUACAAGACAAAUGACAGUCUUAAUAUAGGAUUACCCCAUUUUGGUUCAACCAUGAACACUGUUUGAACUAUGCGAUAGUUUCUUUACUAAAAUAUACUUCAGACUCUGGAACUGGAAGGACUAUGGGCCACUUAAAUGCAGCAUAUAUCUUGCAAUUUGAGCUCGAUAAUGGCAAAUUCCAAAUGCAAUCUAUCCACACAUUACACUCAAGUGCGAAAGAAUGAUCCAUGUAUUUUAAGGGUUUUGGUUCCUGGCAUGUGUACAUCAGGGAGUACUUAUAUAACAUACUGAUUUUGGAUCGUUGGAUGAUAUAUGCAUCUAACGGACAUAAUUAUAAAAAAAAUUCGUCAUGCUCAAUUUUUUUUUAUUUGUUUUUUUGCAUAUGAUAUGUAACUUGAAUAAUAAGAGGAAGGGGGAAAGUGAUGCAACUGCAAUUGAAGAAGUCAGUAGUCACUUAUUUAAAUUUCAAAGUACAAAGCCCAAAUAAGCAAUUUCCAAAGAGCUAAGCAAUGAAGGGCCAAGAAAUGGCUAGCUACUGCUAAAGAAAGCAAGUCCUCAUUCCUUGAUCAGAAGAGAUAAGGCAACCGCUCUCAUGCCACGUGUCAACUCAAUAAGAGUGUUUAAUGAUAAGGCAACCAAUCCAAAUUGCUCACACUGUGUGGCUACCAUGUUGCCUUGUCAACUUCACUGUAAUUCAAUGGUCAGAAAAAUUCUGAACUUUAGGAGGUGAAUUGGGAACCAUUGGAUCAGCAGGUUAAACGAUAAUGAGAUGAAAUGCCUAUAUAUUGGAUAGGUGAAGGAACAGAAGCAAGCCUCUCAAACACAAGAGAAGAAAGUAAAAGAACAAGAAGAGAGUAUUAGUACUCAUGGCUUCUUCAAUGAUAUCAUCAGUAGCACCGGUUACCCGUGCAUCCCCUGCUCAGGCUAACAUGGUCGCGCCUUUCACCGGCCUCAAGUCCAUCGCAUCAUUCCCCGUCACCCGAAAGCUUGAGAAUGACAUUACCUCUAUUACCAGCAACGGAGGAAGAGUUCAAUGCAUGAAGGUAUAUAUCUAUACUACUUAAUACUCAGAUAUAUUAUGUGCUAAUGAGGAACCAGUAUAACAUGGCAGAACAUUUCUUAGUUAGUUAUUGCUCAUUUGCUCUCAAAGUAGCACAAUUCUAAGUCAGAUAAAGCAGUCCUAGGUAACUUUAGAGUGAGUAACUUCAGAAUUUUCCUUGAAUAUGUCAAUAAUAUACAAAAAUUAUGUCAACACCUCGAUUAAAAGAUUGUUUUGCUUGUAUUUUCCUCCUGAGCUGAUCUGAGAAAUUUUGUUCUCAAGUCAAACAAUUAGAGACUUUAGCUCAAGAGAAAUGUCACCCCCUGGCAUUGUAGCCUGCGGGAUGUCCUCUAUAUUUUACCAUAGUAACCAUGUCGCCCCUCAAGUGAAGUAGAAUUUAAUUCAAUAAUGAAAUUGAACUACCCAGUAGAGGAAAUUUCUAGUUUUUUUGUAUAAUUUCCACCUUAGCUUGCUCUUAGUAACCCCCCUCAGUCUCAUUAAAUAGUCGGAAAUGUAUAUUCUUAUGAAGACAUGAUCACGUUCUUCAAAUUUUGCAAUCCAACACUGUUUCUAGACAAAUAUACAAUCUGUCGGUUUGUAAUUGAGUAAAUAUGACAUUCACAAAAUAUAUCAAGGAGAACACACCUUGGUUCUGAAAGUGAAUGAUAAAUUAGUUAGGUAACAUAUGUGAAUGGUGCAAGUGCAGGUAUGGCCACCAAUUAACAUGAAGAAGUUCGAGACACUCUCAUACCUUCCUCCUCUCACCACCGAACAAUUGGCAAAGGAGGUCGACUACCUUCUCCGUUCCGGAUGGGUUCCUUGUCUGGAAUUCGAGUUGGAGGUAAGCACUUUCUUCCUACACAUUUUUCAUGUUCUCUGUUACAUGUUUCUUGACAUUGCUGAUGACAAUUGUGUGUUAAACCAAUAUGCAGCACGGUUUCGUGUACCGUGAGCACAACAAAUCUCCCGGAUACUAUGACGGACGAUACUGGGUUAUGUGGAAGCUUCCCAUGUUCGGGUGCACCGACUCAUCGCAGGUGUUGAAGGAGCUUGAUGAGUGCGUCAAGGAGUACCCCCAGGCGUACGUCCGUAUCAUCGGAUUCGACAACGUUCGCCAAGUCCAGUGCAUCAGUUUCAUUGCUCACCAGCCAGAAUGCUGAUCAAUCUGUCUGUUGAUUUCAUAUAUUUAUCAAUCUUGUUCGGCUCAUAUAUAAACUUCUUGCAAUCUCAUUUCAUUUCUUUCCGUUUUAAAUUUCUUACUUGUAUCUCCAACACAAGGAAAUUGGAACUAUAGAGGAUUAUAUGUAGCGAUUGUUGGUGAUUAUAUAUAUCUACUUGUUUGUUUUCCCUGCACCUUCUAAAUACUUGCAUCAUAUGCUUUCAUGUCGUGAUGUACUUUUUUAUAUAUCUCCGAUUCUCCAUGCAGUAAUUAACCACUACGGUCUUUUUACACCAACAAAUUAUAUGAUAACAUAUAGAAACAGUUCAUUGCUUCCGUAAUAUCUGCCUUGGUACAUGUUCUCUUGUAUCACUACAAAACCUUUCACGUCCAACAAUGUGAAAGCAAAUUCUCUGUAAUAGAAAUGGACAUCUGCUAGCGACAUUUCAGAUAAUAAUAAAGUGUACUUAUGCACCAUCUGGUUGGAAGGAAUGAACGGGAAAAACAUGAACAAAAUCAAAGGUAAACGAGAAGUAUACAAGAGUGAAGAGUGAUGAAGAACUAGAAAGUGCAGACUUUAUUAUGAGUUUCACAAUAUAAUGAGUAAAAUAUAGGAAUGAUCAUUUAUCCCUAUAUUGGUAAGAUUGAGAUAUUAGUUUUUUUUUGUGUGCCAAACUAGUACAAAUUUCAUUUCAUUCUCCCUAAACGUAAUUCUUCCAACAAAAUGGGGCAUUACAUAAAGGUAUAAAGAUGAGGAGAUUAAAGAUUGACAGCUGCGAUAAGGGAAGGUAUGGAAAACAUGUGUAACUAUAUAAAUGUCGAACACCAAUAAGAUCCAAAUAACUCAGAUAACAUCCAAACUCAGUAACAAAUUGGUUAACAGAUAAAAUUCAGAAGCGAAUGCAAAAUAGUUUAUAAAAUUAGAUUCUAAGAUUCAAAAUUUCUAGUAUUCAGAUUAUAUGCAGAUGAAAGAGGAAGGGAGAUUUAUUGAAUAAUUUAGGCUUGACAAAACACAAUAAAAUGAUACACAUAGACUAGUAUACUCUAAUACUUAAUGAGCAGCAUAUAUUCUUAUUCUUAACUACCGUCUAUUCUAUUAUAUCAAAGAAACAUAAAUUAUUGCAAAGCUGUAAAUUCACAUUAAGAAGCUUAAACAAAUUACACAACUAGAAAUCAACCACUCAAAUUGGAUAUAAUUGGAUAAAUAUCUAAAGAGAUCAUAACUAAGAACCCUAAUUUCAAAGUUAUAAAUGUAUGUAUAUAAAUGAUUCAAAAAUCAGAACUCUGUAACACAAAAAAGCUAGCUGAACUGAGAUGAAGUAGAAAGCAGCAACAAAACAUUUAUGAAUUAAAUAUCUAAAGCUGAUCUAAUUACAAACAUCAACUCACAGUUAUCAAGAGGGGUGUAUUGGAUUGGGAUUUUAAAUCAUUUUUUUGCAUUCAUGAAAUCCGAGGGUAUUCGAUUGAGAUUAUUUGAAAUGCAUUAAAAUCUUGGGGUAUUCAAUUGGGAUUUUGAAUUAUGCUACAAAAUCUGGUGGUAUUCAAUUGGGAUUUUAAAUUAUGCUUUAAAAUCCGGUGGUAUUCAAUUCGGAUUGUUUAAAAUCCAUUAAAAUCUGAUGGUAUUCAAAUGUUGUCGGAUUUUUUUUCAUUUCAUAAAAUGGUGGAUUUUGUGGCAUUGUUCGAUGUAUUUUAAGUUUUAUGAAAUCCCACCAAAAUCAAUGGGAUUUUGAAGCAUUGUGCUUAAAUCCUAUCAACUCUGCGACAUUUCAUCAAGAAUCCGCACAAAAUCAAAAUCACAUGCAAUCCAUUAAAAUCCAUAGACUAAAAACAAUCCAUUAAAAUCUCAAUCGAAUACACCCCCGCAAUUUAUUAAUCAGAUGAGAGGAAGGAAGGGAGAGGGUCAGAGGGAGAGGGAGAGGGAGAGAGAGAGAGAGAGAGGAGUUACAGUGCUACGGCGACGUUCAGCGGCGAUGGAGAAGCCAAAAGCGACCAAGCAUAGUAUUAUUACAAGAAGAUGAACGAGAGAUGAGCCUUUCCCUGCCCCCAUUAUUGUUUCUAAGGGCAUCUUUGAUCACAAUUUCAAGCUUCAUAUUUUUUUCACUUUUAAUUUUAUAGAUAGAUUAAUCAAUCUCCAAUCAUCCAUUUAUCUUCCUAUGUAAAGUCAUUUACUAGAUAAAUUAUAUUAUUUUAUAAAAAAAAAUUAAAUAACGAAAUAUAUGAUCUUUCUCGGAUGAAGAUAACUUGCAAAUUUAAUGGUAUAGUUUAGAAAUUGGGGUUGAGAAGUACCAGUAGUUAUGCUAUAUUUACCUGAUGAUCUCGUAUCGUAACUUUUUUUACACGUGGGAUUUUUUUGCUUACAGCUCAUACUCUAUAACACACUUCCGCCAUUUCACAUGUGACUUCAUCUUUUGACCAGGGUUCUGUAAAUAGAAUUUUGAGCAAGAUCCCCUUAAUACAUAACUGAAUAAACAACACUCGUAGAGAUGAAUUCUGCUGGCGGAACUAGGGAAGAAACCCUAGCUUAGUCAAAGUUUUUUUUUUCUUCCAGAUAUUUGUUUUUUUUCAGAUAUUUUUUUAUUUGAGCUCUUAAAAAUAACAGUGAACCAAUAAAAAGUAUUUAUUGUGCAAAUUUUAAUUCUAGAUUAUUUUGAUUCAUGUCAUAUUGUCAUUGACUAACAGGCCAAAGUCAUUUUGUUAAUGGGCUCUAUUUUCUUGACCAAAAUCAUACUGUUUCCCCUACUAUUAUCCUGAGCCCAUGUUUUCAAAUUUCAAUUACGCCCAACCACCAGUCCAGAGUAGUUGUUGUUGGGCCACAAGGUAACCAUCCAAUGUCUAAACUAAUCAUAGUCCAAAUAAAAUUUUUUCAUAAAAACUGCGUGUACGUGAAUCCAGGGCAGAGGACUGAACAUGACUCCACUUGAGUUGAGCAAGAAAACCGCAAUCAUAUAUCUUUGAUUUUUAAAAUUGAAAACCGCAACCGUCAAUCGGGGUCGGUUUCGGUUUCGGUUUAAGAAACUUCGAUUCGGUUAAUAGUCGGCUCGGUUUCGAUUACAAAAUCGACAAAUAUAAGAAUGAAAAAUAGUACACAAACGAGACAAAUUAAUGCACGUAAUCUAGACAUAAUAAUUAAUAUAAUAUUAAAAUUUAACAAAAGUAACCGUAUUUUAUUUAAAACACUCUUGCCAGUAAUAUAAAACUAGUCUUAGUCAGAAUUUUCAUACAGAAUACGAAUCAGAACUUCCGGCUGAUUGGCUUUUUUAACACAUGCUUCAUGAAGAUUGAGAAAAUGUGACAGGGAAAAUAGGAAAUACAGAUUGGCAGUGGCCAGUCAGCAUGAGAUAUUCACUGAACAUCAAAUAUUAACAUAGACGGAUGUUUCUGUAAGUGUUAGAAUAGAUUUAUUAUAUUUAUUACAUAUUACAUAUAUUAUUUAUUAUUAUUUUAAUAACCGGUUCCGUUUGGUUUUUAUUGGUUCGGUUGGGAGGUAUAACCGGAACCAAACCGUUUAAAUCAGAUCAAUUUUUAAUUUUUCGGUUUCUAAUUGGUUUUUUUGAGUUUUUCCAAAUUUCGAUUCGUUUUGAUUUUAAAUCGGUUUUUUGCUAAGUCCUAAAUUAAGGUAUGGGUUCAAUUAUAGACAAGGUUAAGCUUACUUUUUAAAAAGUCUAACAUCACAAGUAAAUGGUUCACAAGUAAAUGGUCUUAAAACUAUAAAGAAACCAGGAUUGAAGCUCAAAAAUUAUCACCACUACACCCUUUUUUCGUGGUGCAACAAAUUUGGCCUAAAUCAAACGCAAAUCAAACGCAUUUAUACAAGACAAAUGACAGUCUUAAUAUAGGAUUACCCCAUUUUGGUUCAACCAUGAACACUGUUUGAACUAUGCGAUAGUUUCUUUACUAAAAUAUACUUCAGACUCUGGAACUGGAAGGACUAUGGGCCACUUAAAUGCAGCAUAUAUCUUGCAAUUUGAGCUCGAUAAUGGCAAAUUCCAAAUGCAAUCUAUCCACACAUUACACUCAAGUGCGAAAGAAUGAUCCAUGUAUUUUAAGGGUUUUGGUUCCUGGCAUGUGUACAUCAGGGAGUACUUAUAUAACAUACUGAUUUUGGAUCGUUGGAUGAUAUAUGCAUCUAACGGACAUAAUUAUAAAAAAAAUUCGUCAUGCUCAAUUUUUUUUUAUUUGUUUUUUUGCAUAUGAUAUGUAACUUGAAUAAUAAGAGGAAGGGGGAAAGUGAUGCAACUGCAAUUGAAGAAGUCAGUAGUCACUUAUUUAAAUUUCAAAGUACAAAGCCCAAAUAAGCAAUUUCCAAAGAGCUAAGCAAUGAAGGGCCAAGAAAUGGCUAGCUACUGCUAAAGAAAGCAAGUCCUCAUUCCUUGAUCAGAAGAGAUAAGGCAACCGCUCUCAUGCCACGUGUCAACUCAAUAAGAGUGUUUAAUGAUAAGGCAACCAAUCCAAAUUGCUCACACUGUGUGGCUACCAUGUUGCCUUGUCAACUUCACUGUAAUUCAAUGGUCAGAAAAAUUCUGAACUUUAGGAGGUGAAUUGGGAACCAUUGGAUCAGCAGGUUAAACGAUAAUGAGAUGAAAUGCCUAUAUAUUGGAUAGGUGAAGGAACAGAAGCAAGCCUCUCAAACACAAGAGAAGAAAGUAAAAGAACAAGAAGAGAGUAUUAGUACUCAUGGCUUCUUCAAUGAUAUCAUCAGUAGCACCGGUUACCCGUGCAUCCCCUGCUCAGGCUAACAUGGUCGCGCCUUUCACCGGCCUCAAGUCCAUCGCAUCAUUCCCCGUCACCCGAAAGCUUGAGAAUGACAUUACCUCUAUUACCAGCAACGGAGGAAGAGUUCAAUGCAUGAAGGUAUAUAUCUAUACUACUUAAUACUCAGAUAUAUUAUGUGCUAAUGAGGAACCAGUAUAACAUGGCAGAACAUUUCUUAGUUAGUUAUUGCUCAUUUGCUCUCAAAGUAGCACAAUUCUAAGUCAGAUAAAGCAGUCCUAGGUAACUUUAGAGUGAGUAACUUCAGAAUUUUCCUUGAAUAUGUCAAUAAUAUACAAAAAUUAUGUCAACACCUCGAUUAAAAGAUUGUUUUGCUUGUAUUUUCCUCCUGAGCUGAUCUGAGAAAUUUUGUUCUCAAGUCAAACAAUUAGAGACUUUAGCUCAAGAGAAAUGUCACCCCCUGGCAUUGUAGCCUGCGGGAUGUCCUCUAUAUUUUACCAUAGUAACCAUGUCGCCCCUCAAGUGAAGUAGAAUUUAAUUCAAUAAUGAAAUUGAACUACCCAGUAGAGGAAAUUUCUAGUUUUUUUGUAUAAUUUCCACCUUAGCUUGCUCUUAGUAACCCCCCUCAGUCUCAUUAAAUAGUCGGAAAUGUAUAUUCUUAUGAAGACAUGAUCACGUUCUUCAAAUUUUGCAAUCCAACACUGUUUCUAGACAAAUAUACAAUCUGUCGGUUUGUAAUUGAGUAAAUAUGACAUUCACAAAAUAUAUCAAGGAGAACACACCUUGGUUCUGAAAGUGAAUGAUAAAUUAGUUAGGUAACAUAUGUGAAUGGUGCAAGUGCAGGUAUGGCCACCAAUUAACAUGAAGAAGUUCGAGACACUCUCAUACCUUCCUCCUCUCACCACCGAACAAUUGGCAAAGGAGGUCGACUACCUUCUCCGUUCCGGAUGGGUUCCUCGUCUGGAAUUCGAGUUGGAGGUAAGCACUUUCUUCCUACAUAUUUUUCAUGUUCUCUGUUACAUGUUUCUUGACAUUGCUGAUGACAAUUGUGUGUUAAACCAAUAUGCAGCACGGUUUCGUGUACCGUGAGCACAACAAAUCUCCCGGAUACUAUGACGGACGAUACUGGGUUAUGUGGAAGCUUCCCAUGUUCGGGUGCACCGACUCAUCGCAGGUGUUGAAGGAGCUUGAUGAGUGCGUCAAGGAGUACCCCCAGGCGUACGUCCGUAUCAUCGGAUUCGACAACGUUCGCCAAGUCCAGUGCAUCAGUUUCAUUGCUCACCAGCCAGAAUGCUGAUCAAUCUGUCUGUUGAUUUCAUAUAUUUAUCAAUCUUGUUCGGCUCAUAUAUAAACUUCUUGCAAUCUCAUUUCAUUUCUUUCCGUUUUAAAUUUCUUACUUGUAUCUCCAACACAAGGAAAUUGGAACUAUAGAGGAUUAUAUGUAGCGAUUGUUGGUGAUUAUAUAUAUCUACUUGUUUGUUUUCCCUGCACCUUCUAAAUACUUGCAUCAUAUGCUUUCAUGUCGUGAUGUACUUUUUUAUAUAUCUCCGAUUCUCCAUGCAGUAAUUAACCACUACGGUCUUUUUACACCAACAAAUUAUAUGAUAACAUAUAGAAACAGUUCAUUGCUUCCGUAAUAUCUGCCUUGGUACAUGUUCUCUUGUAUCACUACAAAACCUUUCACGUCCAACAAUGUGAAAGCAAAUUCUCUGUAAUAGAAAUGGACAUCUGCUAGCGACAUUUCAGAUAAUAAUAAAGUGUACUUAUGCACCAUCUGGUUGGAAGGAAUGAACGGGAAAAACAUGAACAAAAUCAAAGGUAAACGAGAAGUAUACAAGAGUGAAGAGUGAUGAAGAACUAGAAAGUGCAGACUUUAUUAUGAGUUUCACAAUAUAAUGAGUAAAAUAUAGGAAUGAUCAUUUAUCCCUAUAUUGGUAAGAUUGAGAUAUUAGUUUUUUUUUGUGUGCCAAACUAGUACAAAUUUCAUUUCAUUCUCCCUAAACGUAAUUCUUCCAACAAAAUGGGGCAUUACAUAAAGGUAUAAAGAUGAGGAGAUUAAAGAUUGACAGCUGCGAUAAGGGAAGGUAUGGAAAACAUGUGUAACUAUAUAAAUGUCGAACACCAAUAAGAUCCAAAUAACUCAGAUAACAUCCAAACUCAGUAACAAAUUGGUUAACAGAUAAAAUUCAGAAGCGAAUGCAAAAUAGUUUAUAAAAUUAGAUUCUAAGAUUCAAAAUUUCUAGUAUUCAGAUUAUAUGCAGAUGAAAGAGGAAGGGAGAUUUAUUGAAUAAUUUAGGCUUGACAAAACACAAUAAAAUGAUACACAUAGACUAGUAUACUCUAAUACUUAAUGAGCAGCAUAUAUUCUUAUUCUUAACUACCGUCUAUUCUAUUAUAUCAAAGAAACAUAAAUUAUUGCAAAGCUGUAAAUUCACAUUAAGAAGCUUAAACAAAUUACACAACUAGAAAUCAACCACUCAAAUUGGAUAUAAUUGGAUAAAUAUCUAAAGAGAUCAUAACUAAGAACCCUAAUUUCAAAGUUAUAAAUGUAUGUAUAUAAAUGAUUCAAAAAUCAGAACUCUGUAACACAAAAAAGCUAGCUGAACUGAGAUGAAGUAGAAAGCAGCAACAAAACAUUUAUGAAUUAAAUAUCUAAAGCUGAUCUAAUUACAAACAUCAACUCACAGUUAUCAAGAGGGGUGUAUUGGAUUGGGAUUUUAAAUCAUUUUUUUGCAUUCAUGAAAUCCGAGGGUAUUCGAUUGAGAUUAUUUGAAAUGCAUUAAAAUCUUGGGGUAUUCAAUUGGGAUUUUGAAUUAUGCUACAAAAUCUGGUGGUAUUCAAUUGGGAUUUUAAAUUAUGCUUUAAAAUCCGGUGGUAUUCAAUUCGGAUUGUUUAAAAUCCAUUAAAAUCUGAUGGUAUUCAAAUGUUGUCGGAUUUUUUUUCAUUUCAUAAAAUGGUGGAUUUUGUGGCAUUGUUCGAUGUAUUUUAAGUUUUAUGAAAUCCCACCAAAAUCAAUGGGAUUUUGAAGCAUUGUGCUUAAAUCCUAUCAACUCUGCGACAUUUCAUCAAGAAUCCGCACAAAAUCAAAAACACAUGCAAUCCAUUAAAAUCCAUAGACUAAAAACAAUCCAUUAAAAUCUCAAUCGAAUACACCCCCGCAAUUUAUUAAUCAGAUGAGAGGAAGGAAGGGAGAGGGUCAGAGGGAGAGGGAGAGGGAGAGAGAGAGAGAGAGAGGAGUUACAGUGCUACGGCGACGUUCAGCGGCGAUGGAGAAGCCAAAAGCGACCAAGCAUAGUAUUAUUACAAGAAGAUGAACGAGAGAUGAGCCUUUCCCUGCCCCCAUUAUUGUUUCUAAGGGCAUCUUUGAUCACAAUUUCAAGCUUCAUAUUUUUUUCACUUUUAAUUUUAUAGAUAGAUUAAUCAAUCUCCAAUCAUCCAUUUAUCUUCCUAUGUAAAGUCAUUUACUAGAUAAAUUAUAUUAUUUUAUAAAAAAAAAUUAAAUAACGAAAUAUAUGAUCUUUCUCGGAUGAAGAUAACUUGCAAAUUUAAUGGUAUAGUUUAGAAAUUGGGGUUGAGAAGUACCAGUAGUUAUGCUAUAUUUACCUGAUGAUCUCGUAUCGUAACUUUUUUUACACGUGGGAUUUUUUUGCUUACAGCUCAUACUCUAUAACACACUUCCGCCAUUUCACAUGUGACUUCAUCUUUUGACCAGGGUUCUGUAAAUAGAAUUUUGAGCAAGAUCCCCUUAAUACAUAACUGAAUAAACAACACUCGUAGAGAUGAAUUCUGCUGGCGGAACUAGGGAAGAAACCCUAGCUUAGUCAAAGUUUUUUUUUUCUUCCAGAUAUUUGUUUUUUUUCAGAUAUUUUUUUAUUUGAGCUCUUAAAAAUAACAGUGAACCAAUAAAAAGUAUUUAUUGUGCAAAUUUUAAUUCUAGAUUAUUUUGAUUCAUGUCAUAUUGUCAUUGACUAACAGGCCAAAGUCAUUUUGUUAAUGGGCUCUAUUUUCUUGACCAAAAUCAUACUGUUUCCCCUACUAUUAUCCUGAGCCCAUGUUUUCAAAUUUCAAUUACGCCCAACCACCAGUCCAGAGUAGUUGUUGUUGGGCCACAAGGUAACCAUCCAAUGUCUAAACUAAUCAUAGUCCAAAUAAAAUUUUUUCAUAAAAACUGCGUGUACGUGAAUCCAGGGCAGAGGACUGAACAUGACUCCACUUGAGUUGAGCAAGAAAACCGCAAUCAUAUAUCUUUGAUUUUUAAAAUUGAAAACCGCAACCGUCAAUCGGGGUCGGUUUCGGUUUCGGUUUAAGAAACUUCGAUUCGGUUAAUAGUCGGCUCGGUUUCGAUUACAAAAUCGACAAAUAUAAGAAUGAAAAAUAGUACACAAACGAGACAAAUUAAUGCACGUAAUCUAGACAUAAUAAUUAAUAUAAUAUUAAAAUUUAACAAAAGUAACCGUAUUUUAUUUAAAACACUCUUGCCAGUAAUAUAAAACUAGUCUUAGUCAGAAUUUUCAUACAGAAUACGAAUCAGAACUUCCGGCUGAUUGGCUUUUUUAACACAUGCUUCAUGAAGAUUGAGAAAAUGUGACAGGGAAAAUAGGAAAUACAGAUUGGCAGUGGCCAGUCAGCAUGAGAUAUUCACUGAACAUCAAAUAUUAACAUAGACGGAUGUUUCUGUAAGUGUUAGAAUAGAUUUAUUAUAUUUAUUACAUAUUACAUAUAUUAUUUAUUAUUAUUUUAAUAACCGGUUCCGUUUGGUUUUUAUUGGUUCGGUUGGGAGGUAUAACCGGAACCAAACCGUUUAAAUCAGAUCAAUUUUUAAUUUUUCGGUUUCUAAUUGGUUUUUUUGAGUUUUUCCAAAUUUCGAUUCGUUUUGAUUUUAAAUCGGUUUUUUGCUAAGUCCUAAAUUAAGGUAUGGGUUCAAUUAUAGACAAGGUUAAGCUUACUUUUUAAAAAGUCUAACAUCACAAGUAAAUGGUUCACAAGUAAAUGGUCUUAAAACUAUAAAGAAACCAGGAUUGAAGCUCAAAAAUUAUCACCACUACACCCUUUUUUCGUGGUGCAACAAAUUUGGCCUAAAUCAAACGCAAAUCAAACGCAUUUAUACAAGACAAAUGACAGUCUUAAUAUAGGAUUACCCCAUUUUGGUUCAACCAUGAACACUGUUUGAACUAUGCGAUAGUUUCUUUACUAAAAUAUACUUCAGACUCUGGAACUGGAAGGACUAUGGGCCACUUAAAUGCAGCAUAUAUCUUGCAAUUUGAGCUCGAUAAUGGCAAAUUCCAAAUGCAAUCUAUCCACACAUUACACUCAAGUGCGAAAGAAUGAUCCAUGUAUUUUAAGGGUUUUGGUUCCUGGCAUGUGUACAUCAGGGAGUACUUAUAUAACAUACUGAUUUUGGAUCGUUGGAUGAUAUAUGCAUCUAACGGACAUAAUUAUAAAAAAAAUUCGUCAUGCUCAAUUUUUUUUUAUUUGUUUUUUUGCAUAUGAUAUGUAACUUGAAUAAUAAGAGGAAGGGGGAAAGUGAUGCAACUGCAAUUGAAGAAGUCAGUAGUCACUUAUUUAAAUUUCAAAGUACAAAGCCCAAAUAAGCAAUUUCCAAAGAGCUAAGCAAUGAAGGGCCAAGAAAUGGCUAGCUACUGCUAAAGAAAGCAAGUCCUCAUUCCUUGAUCAGAAGAGAUAAGGCAACCGCUCUCAUGCCACGUGUCAACUCAAUAAGAGUGUUUAAUGAUAAGGCAACCAAUCCAAAUUGCUCACACUGUGUGGCUACCAUGUUGCCUUGUCAACUUCACUGUAAUUCAAUGGUCAGAAAAAUUCUGAACUUUAGGAGGUGAAUUGGGAACCAUUGGAUCAGCAGGUUAAACGAUAAUGAGAUGAAAUGCCUAUAUAUUGGAUAGGUGAAGGAACAGAAGCAAGCCUCUCAAACACAAGAGAAGAAAGUAAAAGAACAAGAAGAGAGUAUUAGUACUCAUGGCUUCUUCAAUGAUAUCAUCAGUAGCACCGGUUACCCGUGCAUCCCCUGCUCAGGCUAACAUGGUCGCGCCUUUCACCGGCCUCAAGUCCAUCGCAUCAUUCCCCGUCACCCGAAAGCUUGAGAAUGACAUUACCUCUAUUACCAGCAACGGAGGAAGAGUUCAAUGCAUGAAGGUAUAUAUCUAUACUACUUAAUACUCAGAUAUAUUAUGUGCUAAUGAGGAACCAGUAUAACAUGGCAGAACAUUUCUUAGUGAGUUAUUGCUUUCAAAGUAGCACAAUUUUAAGUCAGAUAAAGUAGUCCUAGGUAACUUUAGAGUGAGCAUAACUUUGGAAUUUUCCUUGAAUAUGUAAAUAAUUUACAAAUAUUAUGUCAACACUUCAAAUAAAAGAUGGUUUUGCUUGUAUUUUCCUCCCGAUCUGAUCUGAGAAAUUUUGUUGUCAAGUCAAACAAUUAGAUACUUUAGCUCAAGAGAAAUGUCACUCCCUGGCAAUCCUGGGGGAUAACUUCUAUAUUUUACCAUAGUAACAGGAGUUUGAGAGUCCAAGAUUCGCAGAAAACAUGUGUGUGUCAAUGUGUGAAAGCCUAAUCAUGUCGCCCCUCAAGUGAAGUAGAUUUUAAUUCAAAAUAGAGAUGUGUGAGAACCUAAUCAUGUCCAAGUUUUUUGUAUGAUUUUCACCUUAGCUUGCUCUCAGUAACCCCUCUCUUAGUCUCAUUAAACAGUGACUCUGAAAUGUAUAUUCUUUUAAAGACAUGAUCACGUUCUUCAAAUUUUGCAAUCCAACACUUUUUGUCAAAAAAUAUACUACAAUCUGUCGGUUUCUAAUCGAGUAAAUAUGACAUUCACAAAGUAUAUCACUGAGAACACACCAUGGUGUGAGAGUGAAUAAGAAAUUAGUUAGCUAACAUAUGUGAAUGGUGCAAGCGCAGGUAUGGCCACCAAUUAACAUGAAGAAGUUCGAGACACUCUCGUACCUUCCUCCUCUCACCACCGAACAAUUGGCAAAGGAGGUCGACUACCUUCUCCGUUCCGGAUGGGUUCCUUGUCUGGAAUUCGAGUUGGAGGUAACCACUUUCUUCCUACACAUUUUUCAUGUUCUCUGUUACAUGUUUCUUGACAUUGCUGAUGACAAUUGUGUGUUAAACCAAAAUGUAGCACGGUUUCGUGUACCGUGAGCACAACAAAUCCCCCGGAUACUAUG
RNAcentral lists this long non-coding RNA (19209 nucleotides) under Daucus carota (carrot). RNAcentral describes it as "long non-coding RNA (DCAR_LNC001441)". Lineage: Eukaryota; Viridiplantae; Streptophyta; Magnoliopsida; Apiales; Apiaceae. The record is from RNAcentral.